UCGCUUCGGCAGCACAUAUACUAAAAUCAGAACAAUACAGAGAAGAUUAGCAUGGGCCCUGCAUGAGGAUGACACAAAAUUUUGUUAAGCAUUCCAUAGAGCU
RNAcentral lists this small nuclear RNA (103 nucleotides) under Pavo cristatus (Indian peafowl). The record is from RNAcentral. Lineage: Eukaryota; Metazoa; Chordata; Aves; Galliformes; Phasianidae.